This is a long non-coding RNA of Rana temporaria (common frog), 428 nucleotides long. RefSeq lists it as uncharacterized. The record is from RefSeq and is a predicted model, not a curated record. The transcript has 4 exons. Lineage: Eukaryota; Metazoa; Chordata; Amphibia; Anura; Ranidae.
CACCUUCUCCUCUGCCUUUUACUUUCCAUUUCUAGGGACUACAUAUCCCAUGGUACUUUUCUGCUUGCAAGCAGUAAUUUCUGUACUGACUCCACCUCCUGAAACUCCUCUCAGACUACGCAAAAUGUGUGGCACAGCAGCGAUUAUCAGUAUGGCAUAGUGAAUACAUGUCACAGAAUUCAAGGAAUUGAAUGUGCGGGGAUCAUCACAGAUGGGAUACACACACGUUAUAUUUUUAAAGGAAUUCCCGUCAAGGUGUCUGCUGAAUAUUGAGUGUUUUUUACCACCAAGGGCUUUUUUGUGGCACAAAACAUACAGAAAUAAUGCAUCAUUUUAGAGAGAAAAUGCGUGGGAAUGCCGAAUAGCUGAAUUGCUAAAGCUAACUGGAUGAAUAGCUUAAAUCCGGAAGAAAAAGUUGGAAAAGUAGG